UACGGGGGGCAAGCGUUGUUCGGAAUUACUGGGCGUAAAGGGCUCGUAGGCGGCCAACUAAGUCAGACGUGAAAUCCCUCGGCUUAACCGGGGAACUGCGUCUGAUACUGGAUGGCUUGAGGUUGGGAGAGGGAUGCGGAAUUCCAGGUGUAGCGGUGAAAUGCGUAGAUAUCUGGAGGAACACCGGUGGCGAAGGCGGCAUCCUGGACCAAUUCUGACGCUGAGGAGCGAAAGCCAGGGAGCAAACGGG
This 250-nucleotide ribosomal RNA is filed under the name uncultured bacterium. RNAcentral's name for it is "partial 16S ribosomal RNA". It matches the Rfam family "Bacterial small subunit ribosomal RNA", at positions 526 to 776 of the family's 1533-position model. The record is from RNAcentral.